RNAcentral lists this ribosomal RNA (524 nucleotides) under uncultured bacterium. RNAcentral describes it as "partial 16S ribosomal RNA". It matches the Rfam family "Bacterial small subunit ribosomal RNA", at positions 28 to 523 of the family's 1533-position model. The record is from RNAcentral.
GACGAACGCUGGCGGCGUGCCUAAUACAUGCAAGUCGAACGCUUCUUUCCUCCCGAGUGCUUGCACUCAAUUGGAAAGAGGAGUGGCGGACGGGUGAGUAACACGUGGGUAACCUACCCAUCAGAGGGGGAUAACACUUGGAAACAGGUGCUAAUACCGCAUAACAGUUUAUGCCGCAUGGCAUAAGAGUGAAAGGCGCUUUCGGGUGUCGCUGAUGGAUGGACCCGCGGUGCAUUAGCUAGUUGGUGAGGUAACGGCUCACCAAGGCCACGAUGCAUAGCCCACCUCGAAGAGUGUUCGGCCAACCGGGGACUGAGGCACGACCCAGAAUCCUACGCGAGGUAGCAGUAGGGAAUCGUCGGCAAUGGACGGAAGGCUGACCGAGCAACGCCGCGUGAGUGAAGAAGGUUUUCGGAUCGUAAAACUCUGUUGUUAGAGAAGAACAAGGGCGUUAGUAACUGAACGUCCCCUGACGGUAUCUAACCAGAAAGCCACGGCUAACUACGUGCCAGCCGCCGCGGUAA